GACUGCCCGCUGUCUCAAAACCGUUCAGUUUGAAGGCAAACAGUAGAGAAAGGACUUGAAGAGACGUCAAGCAGUCGGAAGUAAAAUGACAGAGGACAUGUAGACCAUCAGCAGCAUUAUAGACCUUAACUCGAUUCCUUUGCUAACCAUCAGAAUUCAUGCCAGUUUGCGUUUGUGACUAAUUUGGAAGAAAUUGUUAUUCCCCAAUGAGAUGUCAAGUCACACUAGAGACAAUAAUCAAUGCACAACAGUGACAAAACUACAGUCUUGACAGUGAUGACUAAUCUGUGUUGUAGACUUUAACUCGUUCAUUUGCAAACUAUGAGAAUUGAUCAACAGCUUUCCGUUUGUUCCAAAUUUGGAAGAUUGUUAAGUCACAACAGAUGUUGCACCAGAUACCAUAUUCAAUACACAUCAGCCACAGUUUUGACAGUGAUGGAACCCCAAAGGAAGAUAUAACCCAUCAUCGUCGGAUUCUAUUCAAUGUGCCAAGUUGGGAUGCAGUAACCUGUCAAACGAAACCACAACCUACAGUACUAAGCCACUAACCAUGGGAAUGAAGAAUGCUUUCUAGUUUGCAUAAAGUAGUUGCUCAGGAAAACGCCAUCAUUACACAAGGUAUAUAUUCUCCUGCAAUUUGAUGUUGUAAAUGCCUUUGCGGGCUUUGCCCACUUGGCUUGUGUAGUUGUAAAGACUGAUCACAUAGUCAAUAGGACAAGAACGUUAGGAAACUUGAUCGGUUCAUCACAUGUAUAUUGUGUUUUGUAAAUUGUGUAAUAAUCAUGACUGGGUAAUUAAACCAACACACUGCUAUAGAGCUGCUCCCGAUUAAUCGAUUAUUUUUCCACAAUCGAUUAUGCUUAACUUACAGUAAUCAGAUCAUCUAUAACACCACACAGCGUGAUGUGGGAAUGAUUAAUUGAAAGAAACUGAUGUUAAUUUCUUUCCGGAUUAAAAAAAUUGCGACAAGAUUGUGAUUAAAGUAUAAAAAGACAAACCUUAAGGCAAAAUUCGUUGAUUCAAAACAUUGUGGAUCAAAUUCACUUGCAGCGUUGCAAAGUUUACCAUUGUCUGAUCAGGUUUAUUAGAUGAAUUUAUUAAUAAACCGAUCAUGCAUAAGAGUCUGAGUCUUGCAAAUUUACUUAGGAGUGUCAAAAGUAAACAACUAAAUCUUGUGUGAAGUGUAAGAGGGCGAGAAAGUGCGCAAUCUAUAAUUGUGAUUUAAAUUGGAUUUAAAACGUGUAUACUGAUUGGUGCAACCCCCAAAAUUUAGUAAACAGUUCACUUUACAAACCUGUCAAACCACCAUUGAGCAUGUCAUAUUCAAAUUGAUUAUCAAAACUAUUAAUCAAUAUUAAUCGAUUGUUGACAACGAUUAAUCGAUUGCAAAAAUUAAUCCAUGGGAGCAGCUUUACACUGCUAUUGGUUGGUUGGGCAAGAAACAAUGGUAAUUGAGCAAUGUACCCAACUUUGUUAUUUUACUUUGUCUAAUGCCAGGCGAUUUAUUCAUCAGGGGGGGGGGGGAGUGCUGUCACUCGAUUGGUUAACUUCCAACCCAUCCCAUGGAAAUCCAUUGACCUAGCCAGUGGAAAUUCCAUAUUUAUUCUUUGAUUGGUAGCUAUCCCUUGGAGAAUUCCUUGCUGAUUUUUAUCCUAUCCUUUGGGUUUUCUUUUUCAUUGUUGAUCAUCCCAUGGAAAUUCCAUAAAUUUUAGUCAUUUUUCAUACCUGCCCUGUGGAAUUUCCACAGAUUUGCCUUAAUAUUUGGAACCUCCCAUGGCAAUUCCUUCAUUUUUGGCUAUUGGAAAUUCCAGAUGUCCUCAAUAGGGGGGUGUGGAUAAAAAGUACAAUGGCCCAUUAUAUGCAUACACAGGAAUAUUUAGUUAACAGUGGCAGAUGCGUCAGUGUGCUGCACUAAAGCCCUGUUACACUAUGCUCAAUCUUUGGUACGGCACAGAUAAAAUUGGUACCCGUACCACUUUUUUGGUUCUUGGACUACCUAUUUAGCUUAACCUGAGUAUCAGGCUCUAUUUUACAAAUAGAGCCUGACACAAAACUUAACCUGAUCGCUUUCCGCCCACAGCAAAGUUUAUAUUUAGUAUCCAAUCAAAAUGUCGCAGGAGAAAUUUAAAUUUCACACAACGACAACAACAAUCUAAUUAUAGCAUAGACAGCCCACUAAACGGCUGCAUUUAAAUUAAAACUGCAAUGAACUUAUAAAAUUAACAAUAAUAAUCACAAAUUAGCGAAAUAUAUUGCAAAUGUAGCUUAUAUUAAAUCGCCACCCGAUUGCUCUCUCCUCCGCAGAGGUUUCAGUAACUACAAUGAGCUUUACAUGGCGCUUGCCGUAUUUAUCAACAAACUGACGUAUAAUUAUAAAGUAUAUAUAUAUAUAUAUUAAGUAUACUUUAUAACUAUACAUCAGUUAGUCGAUAGUGCAAUGUGAUGGCGAUUUAAUAUAAGCUACAUUUGCAAUAUAUUUUGCUAAUUUGCGAUUAUUUUCUAAUUUUACUGCAGUUUUAAUUUAAAUUCAGCCGUUUAGUGGGCCGGCUAUAAUUGUAGUUGUGAUCGUUAUAAAAUAUAUCAACAACAAUAGUAUAAUCUAAUUAGCACCAGCCAAUCAAAUGACAGAUUUAAAAAAUCGUUUGUCUAAUUGGCCAAUCAGCGCUCAGUCCAGAUUCUGGACUGAAUAACCAGGCAAAAUGCCGCUUUUGUGUCAGGCCGUACUUUUCUCUUCGCCCGCGAUCAGGCGUGCCUGUGCCCUAAAAAGUACGGCCUGAUACUCAGGUUAUAUUUAGCUAAGCCCUGUUUACACUACGCUCAAUUUUUGGUACCGUACCACUUUUUGGUUCUUGGACUACUUACCUAACCAAAAAAGUGGUACCAAUUUUAUCCGUGCCGUACCAAAAAUUGAGCGUAGUGUAAACGGGGCUUAAAGCUAUUUUCCUAUGGUGAAAACUCUUGUCAGUAGAAUUUUGAUGGUUCUCUCCUGCAUGUGCACAUGUUUAAUUUCUCUGGAUACCUCAGUUUCCCUCUCACCUAAAACAAACCUUUUAGGUCUCAGCUGAUGAGCUUAUGAUUAGGCUAGAUCGAGCGACCACACCCUGUGUCAUAAACAUUGAAUAGAUCAUCAUCAUUGAGUUUGAAAUGAUUUAUUACUAACAAUACACAAUCUAACUCAUUUUAGACUGCCCGCUGUCUCAAAACCGAUCAGUUUGAAGGCAAACAGUAGAGAAAGGACUCGAAGAGACGUCAAGCAGUCGGAAGUAAAAUGACAAAGGACACAUGUGGACCAUCAGCAGCGUUAUAGACCUUAACUCGAUUCCUUUGCUAACCAUCAGAAUUCAUGCCAGUUCGCGUUUGUGACAAAUUUGGAAGAAAUUGUUAUUCCCCCAAUGAGAUGUCAAGUCACACUAGAGACAAUAAUCAAUGCACAACAGUGACAAAACUACAGUCUUGACAGUGAUGACUAAUCUGUGUUGUAGACUUUAACUCGUUCAUUUGCAAACUAUGAGAAUUGAUCAACAGCUUUCCGUUUGUUCCAAAUUUGGAAGAUUGUUAAGUCACAACAGAUGUUGCACCAGAUACCAUAUUCAAUACACAUCAGCCACAGUUUUGACAGUGAUGGAACCCCAAAGGAAGAUAUAACCCAUCAUCGUCGGAUUCUAUUCAAUGUGCCAAGUUGGGAUGCAGUAACCUGUCAAACGAAACCACAACCUACAGUACUAAGCCACUAACCAUGGGAAUGAAGAAUGCUUUCUAGUUUGCAUAAAGUAGUUGCUCAGGAAAACGCCAUCAUUACACAAGGUAUAUAUUCUCCUGCAAUUUGAUGUUGUAAAUGCCUUUGCGGGCUUUGCCCACUUGGCUUGUGUAGUUGUAAAGACUGAUCACAUAGUCAAUAGGACAAGAACGUUAGGAAACUUGAUCGGUUC
This is a non-coding RNA of Paramuricea clavata, 3929 nucleotides long. NCBI's taxonomy places the organism in Eukaryota, Metazoa, Cnidaria, Anthozoa, Malacalcyonacea, Plexauridae. The record is from the annotation of a GenBank genome assembly.